UAUUUUAUUAGAUAACAGACCAAUAUUCUUCGUGUCUAUUGCGGUGAAUCCUAGUAACUAAUCGGAUCGUAUGGGCUAGUCCCUCGAAAACCAUUCAAGUUUCUGCCCCAUCAGCUUUCGAUGGUAGUGUAUUGGACUACCAUGGCUUUCACGGGUAACGGAGGAUUAUGGUUCGAUUCCGGAGAGGGAGCCUGAGAAACGGCUACCACAUCUAAGGAAGGCAGCAGGCGCGUAAAUUACCCAAUUCUGACUCAGAGAGGUAGUG
Molecule: ribosomal RNA, 265 nt
Filed under: uncultured Spirotrichea
Lineage: Eukaryota; Ciliophora; Spirotrichea
Description: partial small subunit ribosomal RNA
Rfam family: Eukaryotic small subunit ribosomal RNA
Source: RNAcentral